Molecule: non-coding RNA, 73 nt
Organism: Ovis aries (sheep)
Lineage: Eukaryota; Metazoa; Chordata; Mammalia; Artiodactyla; Bovidae
Source: Rfam
UCCCUCAUGGUCCAGUGGCUAAGACUCUGCGCUCCCAGGGCAGGGAGCCCAAGUUCGAUCCCUGGUCAGGGAG